Bombus pascuorum is the source of this 319-nucleotide long non-coding RNA. RefSeq lists it as uncharacterized. NCBI's taxonomy places the organism in Eukaryota, Metazoa, Arthropoda, Insecta, Hymenoptera, Apidae. The transcript has 2 exons. The record is from RefSeq and is a predicted model, not a curated record.
GUGAUGUAACAAUUGCAAUAAAAAUCUACAACUAUAUUCUUCAUGCAAUUACCUGGAGUAUCGCUUAUUUUUUCGAGAGGUGUCCUCAGACCAAAACUAAAUUGCGGGCUAUACGUGCCAGGUGCUAUAAAAAUAAAUUGACAUGUGCUGGUGAUACUACAAUUCGUAAAUAAUGUACAUUACAUAUUAUCACAUACAAAGUUACACGGCUGUGAUAAUAAAUUCGUGAUUAUUAUUUUGUCGACCGAACAAAUGUACAGCAAGUCAUGAAUUUGCAAUAAAAUUAAUUAGGUUUCAAUAAGUUAUUUAACAAUAAUUG